ACCACAUAUAAUAUUUCUAUGAAGAAGGGUAGCUAUGUACUUGUCUGUUUUGACAUCUUAUGGUGGCCUGGUUAUUUUAAUUUUUUGUAGGAAUGUCAUUGAGAAAAGUUUAUUGAGUGUAUUUUUGUGUAUGUGUUUGCAUGUGUGUGAUAGGAAGUGACAUUAUAGUGCUGAAUUCUAUAGAUGUAUGAAGAAAACUUUUGAAGGAAAGUUUUCAAGUAAAGUUCGUUGGAAAAUUGAACAAAUUUUACUUAUUCUGGCAAUACAGCUAGGCUAGGACUGAUCGUAUAUGGAAGUCCAAAAUCAACUUAAAUCUCCUUUACAUCAUGCGUUCGAUUAGAUAUUCUCUGCUUGACUUUGUCUUAUCCAGUAUUGCAACCUUGACAGCUAGUAAUUGGCUUUCCUUGUAGUCAGACCCUGUUUUCAAAGGAUAAGAGAUACCGUGAGAGAUGGAUAAUCAAAGAUCCAAAAUCUUGUAAGGAAUAUAAUGGAGAUGAAAAAUAGGUACUGAACUAUUUUUCGACCAAGG
RNAcentral lists this long non-coding RNA (529 nucleotides) under Phoenix dactylifera (date palm). Its description in RNAcentral is "long non-coding RNA (PDAC_LNC022015)". Lineage: Eukaryota; Viridiplantae; Streptophyta; Magnoliopsida; Arecales; Arecaceae. The record is from RNAcentral.